Molecule: transfer RNA, 75 nt
Filed under: Bavayia robusta
Lineage: Eukaryota; Metazoa; Chordata; Lepidosauria; Squamata; Diplodactylidae
Description: tRNA-Ser
Rfam family: tRNA
About the family: Transfer RNA (tRNA) molecules are approximately 80 nucleotides in length. Their secondary structure includes four short double-helical elements and three loops (D, anti-codon, and T loops).
Source: RNAcentral
GAGAAAGAAGCAUAAGAAUAGGAUGUGCAGCUAGCUUGAAACUAGCGGGAGGGGGUUCAAGUCCCUCAUUUCUUG